UGGGGAAUCUUCCGCAAUGGACGAAAGUCUGACCGAGCAACGCCGCGUGAGUGAAGAAGGUUUUCGGAUCGUAAAGCUCUGUUGUAAGAGAAGAACGAGUGUGAGAGUGGAAAGUUCACACUGUGACGGUAUCUUACCAGAAAGGGACGGCUAACUACGUGCCAGCAGCCGCGGUAAUACGUAGGUCCCGAGCGUUGUCCGGAUUUAUUGGGCGUAAAGCGAGCGCAGGCGGUUAGAUAAGUCUGAAGAUUAGGCUGUGGCUUAACCAUAGUACGCUUUGGAAACUGUUUAACUUGAGUGCAAGAGGGGAGAGUGGAAUUCCAUGUGUAGCGGUGAAAUGCGUAGAUAUAUGGAGGAACACCGGUGGCGAAAGCGGCUCUCUGGCUUGUAACUGACGCUGAGGCUCGAAAGCGUGGGGAGCAAACAGGAUUAGAUACCCUGGUAGUCCACGCCGUAACGAUGAGUGCUAGGUGUUAGACCCUUUCCGGGGUUUAGUGCCGCAGCUAACGCAUUAAGCACUCCGCCUGGGGAGUACGACCGCAAGGUU
This 547-nucleotide ribosomal RNA is filed under the name uncultured bacterium. Its description in RNAcentral is "bacterial SSU rRNA". It matches the Rfam family "Bacterial small subunit ribosomal RNA", at positions 355 to 895 of the family's 1533-position model. The record is from RNAcentral.